AAGCUAUGAUAUCGAUGUGUAAUAAUACAGAAAAUUUAUAAAGGGAUUUGCAGUGGUACAGACAAGACACCUUUAGCUACAUAAGAGAAAUUGCACAAGAUGAAGAUGAAAUCGUUUUUAGUAACAUGUAUUGUUAUUGUUGUCUUGCUGAUCGAGUUACCUCAAGGACAAGCCUUCUUAAGAACGAGGACUUCCAAAAAAAGAACAACCUCGAAGCCACCAAACGGCAAACGAGACAUGGCUGCUAGACGACAAGUAAUGACUACUAAGGAAAAAAUAUGUGAGGCUGCACGACAGCUUAACUGCGUACCUUGACGGAACCCUCUUAGAUUUGGUUAAACACCGGCUUAGAAUAAGAAGUAUACAAUGUUCUUACAUAUACGCUUUUAUUAUAAAUGACCGCAUGUAUAUUAGAAACAUGCCAAUCUUAGACUGGAUAAGACAUAUAAAGCAAAUAAUUUGUAAAAACUACAUUGAAUACUUUACAUCUGUAUUUUGAACUGAAAUUGUUGUAACAUUUAAAAUUUAAAUAAAAUGUAAACUAGAUUAAAAUGAAAAAGAACGAGUCCAUAAAGGGCUACUUUGCAUUGGCA
Molecule: long non-coding RNA, 593 nt
Organism: Actinia tenebrosa (Australian red waratah sea anemone)
Lineage: Eukaryota; Metazoa; Cnidaria; Anthozoa; Actiniaria; Actiniidae
Source: RefSeq, a predicted model, not a curated record